Molecule: non-coding RNA, 87 nt
Organism: Phthorimaea operculella (potato tuberworm)
Lineage: Eukaryota; Metazoa; Arthropoda; Insecta; Lepidoptera; Gelechiidae
Source: the annotation of a GenBank genome assembly
ACCGCGGUAGCCUAGUUGGUAGUGGCGUCGGCAGCACCAUGGCAGUACAGAUGCCGAAGGUCGCAGGUUCAAAUCCUGCCUGCGGUG